GAGAUGGAGUCUCCCUCUCUUGCCCAGGUGAUCUGUCUCGUGAUUCGCCUGCCUCGGCCUCCCAAAGUGCUGGGAUGACAGGCGUGAGCCACUGAGCCCGGCCCGUGUUUUUUUUUUUUAAGACAGAAUGUUGCCAGGUACAGUGGCUCAAGCCUGUAAUUCCAGGAUUUUGAGAGGCUACGCUGUAUGGGUUAGUGUGAGUUCUUUCUAUAUUUGUACAAUGACAGAAUCACCUGAUGUUAAGUGUUGCAUGACUGUAACAGUUCCCACUCUGUACCAUGUCUCUUCUAGGCCAAAGCCCCCUCCCCAGAGCAGACCCCUAGCACUCCACAGCAGGAUCACAAGCUGGUCUCUGGUCCCAGACCCUGCGGAUCCUUGUCGACGCUUCCAGUCUCGAUCACUUCCCGAUGGUUUGAAUGUGAAGUCAACAAUCCACGGAACAAUUUGCACUUACUGUUUCUAGGGCUUUUGCAGUUAAAAUGUCUUCAGUUUCCCCGAUCUUCCUGCAGAUGCCCCUGCAGUCAGAAGCUGAGUCUGUCCCUUCUCCCAGCAGCAGCUGGG
RNAcentral lists this long non-coding RNA (561 nucleotides) under Pan troglodytes (chimpanzee). RNAcentral's name for it is "lincRNA". The record is from RNAcentral. Lineage: Eukaryota; Metazoa; Chordata; Mammalia; Primates; Hominidae.